GAUCGUUGUUAAACUGCAUGCGGAGAUCCCGGAAUUCUCCUAAAUCAUCCGGACAUUCAUACAUGCCGAUUACGGCUACAUGGCAGCAGCUUAAGACUACUGCCCGUCCUUUACUUAAUUUACUUGUGGUUAGGUAAAAGGGCGUCGACUACGCAAGUUGCUCUUAAUAUGCGCCCAUAGUAUUGAGAUAAGAUCUUUUGGGCUGGUUCCGCUAUUUGUUUGUCGCUGGCCAUUUGCGGAAUAAGUUCCCGCCAGGAGACUAAGCGUGUAGAUGUUUUAUGAAGAUUUAUUUCGGACGGGAGUUCGAAUCUCCCCGCCUCCACUC
RNAcentral lists this transfer-messenger RNA (325 nucleotides) under Fidelibacterota bacterium. Its description in RNAcentral is "partial transfer-messenger RNA". It matches the Rfam family "transfer-messenger RNA". From Rfam's summary of the family: Bacterial tmRNA, also known as 10Sa RNA or SsrA, is named for its dual tRNA and mRNA-like properties. The record is from RNAcentral. Lineage: Bacteria; Pseudomonadati; Fidelibacterota.